RNAcentral lists this transfer RNA (86 nucleotides) under Cadophora sp. MPI-SDFR-AT-0126. Its description in RNAcentral is "Leotiomycetes sp. MPI-SDFR-AT-0126 tRNA-Trp". The record is from RNAcentral. Lineage: Eukaryota; Fungi; Ascomycota; Leotiomycetes; Helotiales; Ploettnerulaceae.
GAUAGAUUGGUGUAGUGGUAUCAUGUCUGAUUCCAGAUCUUAUCUGAGUUUCCAGAAGGUCACCCGUUCAAUCCGGGUACGACUCA